RNAcentral lists this long non-coding RNA (688 nucleotides) under Pan troglodytes (chimpanzee). Its description in RNAcentral is "lincRNA". Lineage: Eukaryota; Metazoa; Chordata; Mammalia; Primates; Hominidae. The record is from RNAcentral.
CUCUGAAACAGAUCCAAGAUGUUGUUUGAGCCAUGCAACUAGAAGAUCUCAUAGAACUAAAGUUAUCUAAUUUACAGAAAAGGUUUUACGUGAUGUCUAUUGUACAGAUUCAUAUGAAAACCAUAGUUCAAACUCCAAGGUUUAAGAAGUAAGAAAGAUCAUGUCAUUUGCAACAAACAUGCAUGCAUAUUUGAAAAGCAACUGUAAGUAUGCUAUUGGACAUUGGUAAAGAUUGAAUAUCUGACCAUGGCAUAUCAAGAAACCGUGGAAUGAGUACUGCUUAUCAAGAUCUGGGUGUGAGAAGACUUAAAAAGUCAGAUAGUCAGUGAGAACCAGCUAGAAUCCAUGAUCUGUUGUGGGAAAACUAGAAGACCAAAAAAAGCACAAAAGUCAAGAAAGAAGUCUCUUUUCACAUGAAAGUGGCCUGAAGACAAAUACCACUAUGAAUGGUUACAUCUAGGACUUCUGAGAUUAGCCCCAGAUUCAACUCAUUUUUUUUUUGCAUUUGCUCAGCAAUAUGACAUGUUUACACUGAUUAGCUAAAAAGUUAUGUGAAGAAUGGGCAACAAUAUCUCUAAGGCAAGAUAUGCUCAGAUCCAAUAUAGUUCAUAUAGACCUUGUCAGAGUAAAUGACCAUGUGCCUUUCAGAACACUAAAGAAUAAAGUCCUUCCACAUUAGAAUGACAAA